This is a long non-coding RNA of Hemicordylus capensis (graceful crag lizard), 977 nucleotides long. RefSeq lists it as uncharacterized. The transcript has 4 exons. NCBI's taxonomy places the organism in Eukaryota, Metazoa, Chordata, Lepidosauria, Squamata, Cordylidae. The record is from RefSeq and is a predicted model, not a curated record.
GAAACAUUCACGAGUGUACAGACAUCUGCACGCGCAUACAGCAUAAUGUGUGAACCAGGCGUCUUAUCUCUGCUGAAUGCUGACCUGGGAUUAGCUCCUUUGGGGCUAUGGAGACCUGACUUAGCGGAGAAAGGAUUUCUAUUUAAAGCACAAACGUGCAGGGCCUGUUCAAAAUCAUCUGCCAAGAAGCAGGGAGCACACCGGGACAGCAGCCAGAAACCUAAAGCCAGAACCAGAUUAUGCUGGCAAGGGGAGGUGAAGAGGAGUAACAGGAAAACUUGUUCAUGAGGUCAUCGCUCUAUUCAGACAUAUUACCCUGUAUGUGCUCCAGGUGUCUAUACCCAGAUGGAUUACUGCAUGCGGCCACUGCUGUCAGGGCAGUUGAAUCUGCAGCUGGAUGUCGGGGACUCUGCAGAUAUGUCUGUGGGGGCCUAAAACACUAGCAGCUUUAAUGCGGUGGUGCCACUUUUCAAACAUGUACCCGUGGAAACAGGUAAAAGAACUACAAUCUUGAAUGAAACUUAAAGAUGUGCAACACACACAAUGUAACUGAUGGGAAGUCCGUCAGACUUUGGAGGAAUGGAAAACAUUGUUCCAAGAGGAGACAAUAGGUUAAAAAGUAAGUUUCUACAAGACACCUGUCUUUUCAAGCAACCUGGAAUCUGGAUUUUAGCUAUUGUAGUAGGUGAAAUGUCACCGAGCUGCAAAUGCACAACUCUGAAGAAUCAUUUUACUUGCCAGAACUGGGAACUGAAUUACUUCCCUGAUAGCAUUUACAGCAUGUGAAUUUGAGAAGCAUGUUGGUCUCAAGAGGCACUUACCUUGCAAGAUAAAGCAAGAGGAGCAGCAGCUGGUAUUAAAGCGGGGUAGUUGUUUUGCCUUCAUUGAGGAGUUCUACAUUUUGCAGUUAAUACAAUUCCUUACCUUUAAAGGGGGUUAAAGCUUUGUAUGAAUCAUAUUUUUGACAAACUCAUUAU